RNAcentral lists this ribosomal RNA (1096 nucleotides) under uncultured Microgenomates group bacterium. RNAcentral describes it as "bacterial SSU rRNA". It matches the Rfam family "Bacterial small subunit ribosomal RNA", at positions 8 to 1095 of the family's 1533-position model. The record is from RNAcentral.
AGAGUUUGAUCCUGGCUCAGGAUGAAUGUUGGCGGCGUGCCUGAGAUAUGCAAGUCGAACGCCCAUGUCGCAAGAUGUGGAGUGGCGGACGGCUGAGUAACACGUAGGAAUCUACCCCAAAAUAAAGAAUAGCUCGUCGAAAGACGGGGUAAUACUUUAUGUUAUAAAUGUCGCAAGAUAUUUAUCAAAGUACAUAACUGUACGUUUUGGGAUGAGCCUGCGGCUUAUCAGGUAGUUGGUAGGGUAAUGGCCUACCAAGCCUUUAACGAGUAGCUGGUCUAAGAGGAUGGUCGGCCAGAGGGGGACUGAGACACGGCCCCCACUUCUACGGAAGGCAGCAAUCAGGAAUAGUCGGCAAUGGACGAAAGUCUGACCGCGCGACGCCGCGUGUAGGAAUAAAUUCUAACGAAUGUAAACUACUGUUGUAAGGGAAGAAGUCCCGACUUAGUCGGGAUUGACGGUACCUUACUAGAAAGGGGCCGCUAACUGCGUGCCAGAAGCGUCGGUAAUACGUGGGCCCCGAACAUUAUCCGGUUUUAUUGGGUGUAAAAAGUCGUGUAGGUGUCUUGAUAAGUCCUGAUUUAAAUACUAUGGCUCAACUGUGGUAAGGGUCAAGAUACUAUCAAGAUAGAGUUUUCUUUAGGGAGAAUGGAACUCAGGGAGGAGUAGUGAAAUGCGUUGAUACCCUGGGGAACACUCGUGGCGAAGGCGAUUCUCUGGAAGAUUACUGACACUGAGACACGAAAGCUAGGGGAGCGAAGCAGAUUAGAGACCUGCGUAGUCCUAGCCCUAAACGUAUGCUUGCUAGCCGCACCUGUCCCGCCGUAAGGCGGAUAGAUGUAGCGAAAGGUAACCCGUUAAGCAAGCCACCUGGGGAGUACGGCCGCAAGGUUGAAACUCAAAGGAAUUGGCGGGGAGGCACACAACCAGUGGAACAUGUGGUUCAAUUCGAAACGAACCGAAGAACCUCACCAAGGUUUGACAUCUAAGCGUCCUAUUUUGUGGAAACACGAAAAAUUCGCAAGAAGGCUUAGACAGGUACUGCAUGGCUGUCGUCAGCUCGUUCCGUGAGGAGUACCCUUAAGUGGGACAACGA